Long non-coding RNA from Suricata suricatta (meerkat), 430 nucleotides. RefSeq lists it as uncharacterized. The transcript has 3 exons. Lineage: Eukaryota; Metazoa; Chordata; Mammalia; Carnivora; Herpestidae. The record is from RefSeq and is a predicted model, not a curated record.
UUGGGUUUCCGUUGAGCUUACUAGCAUCAGCUUUAUGGAGACUGAACUUAGGCGUUUAUUCCUCUGGUCCUUUCCAUGAUUCUGUAACCUCCUGAAAGGAAAAUGGCGACACAGCAGCAAACUGAGGUUCUCGCCAAAAGGUUCUGGAAAAACUGCCAUGGCUAGACUGAACUCAGUGAGAAGCUGCAUAAUAAAUGGAACCUUUAGGAAAAGAGACUUCAGAGUGCUAAGGACAGGGCCAGCGAAGGCAAGCCUGCAGAGACCCACCUCUUCUGGGGACUCCACCACUUCUCCAAGGCCCUACCCCCAAAGCCACAAGGAGUCCUCAGCCCUGAAAUCCACUCUUUGCUGAGAGAGAUGCUCAUUUUUCACAUCACUGCGCUACACUCUUCCUCUAUGUGGUGCUGAUUAACUCCAGCAAAAAGCACUG